AUAUUGGACAAUGGGGGAAACCCUGAUCCAGCGACGCCGCGUGGGUGAAGAAGGCCUGCGGGUUGUAAAGCCCUUUCGGUAGGGACGAAAGCUCUCGACCUAACACGUCGGGAGGUUGACUUAACCUACAAAAGAAGCACCGGCUAACUCUGUGCCAGCAGCCGCGGUAAUACAGAGGGUGCGAGCGUUAAUCGGAACUACUGGGCGUAAAGCGCACGUAGGCGGCUUGGUAUGUCGGGUGUGAAAUCCCCGGGCUCAACCUGGGAACUGCAUCCGAAACUGCCUUGCUUGAGUAUGGGAGAGGGAAGUGGAAUUUCCGGUGUAGCGGUGAAAUGCGUAGAUAUCGGAAGGAACAUCAGUGGCGAAGGCGACUUCCUGGACCAAUACUGACGCUCAGGUGCGAAAGCGUGGGGAGCAAACAGG
This 423-nucleotide ribosomal RNA is filed under the name uncultured bacterium. Its description in RNAcentral is "bacterial SSU rRNA". It matches the Rfam family "Bacterial small subunit ribosomal RNA", at positions 361 to 776 of the family's 1533-position model. The record is from RNAcentral.